AAACAUUCAACAGAAAAAAAAAAGAGAGAGAGCUCUAAAAUUCUCUCAGAGCUCCGGCCAGUGGCCGUCUUGGCUCGUCUCGGAGCACCACCGCCUUCGGCCAUACGCGCUUCACGUGCCACCGUCUGAACCACCGUGCCCGGCGGUUAGGGCAUUAAAAAUUUAUUUUUCUCUCACGAAUCAACAGCUUUAUACACGAUGAUUGCGACGGAGGUGAGGGCAUGCUGAUUCAGGCCUUUGAUUGCGGCGCAACAUGAGGCUGAUGUCGGCUGGAAGCUUACGGCGCGAACCCUAGCUAGGGUUUCUCAGAAGCUGAAACUCCUUUAGUUAGUUGGGCCUGCUGGGCUGUGUUUGUUUGUUGGAUCAAAAGGGUAUUUUGGGCUGAUUCGGGUUGUGAAUUUAGGUAUGGGUGUAAUGGGUAUUUGGGUAGAAUUUUUAGGUUUAAUUUUGGGUUUUAAUUUUUGGGCUGUGGUUAGUGGGUUUGUAUUUUGGGUUCUGUAAAAGGACUUUAAAUGGAUUGUUUAAUUUUAUUUCUUUGUUUAAUUUUAA
Molecule: long non-coding RNA, 549 nt
Organism: Gossypium arboreum
Lineage: Eukaryota; Viridiplantae; Streptophyta; Magnoliopsida; Malvales; Malvaceae
Exons: 2
Source: RefSeq, a predicted model, not a curated record